RNAcentral lists this ribosomal RNA (198 nucleotides) under uncultured bacterium. Its description in RNAcentral is "partial 16S ribosomal RNA". It matches the Rfam family "Bacterial small subunit ribosomal RNA", at positions 328 to 539 of the family's 1533-position model. The record is from RNAcentral.
ACGCUCGACACCUACUGGAGGCAGCAGUGGGGAAUAUUGCACAAUGGGGGAAACCCUGAUGCAGCGACGCCGCGUGAAGGAAGAAGUAUCUCGGUAUGUAAACUUCUAUCAGCAGGGAAGAAAAUGACGGUACCUGACUAAGAAGCCCCGGCUAACUACGUGCCUGCAGCCGCGGUAAUCUGAGCGGGCUGGCAAGGC